RNAcentral lists this ribosomal RNA (301 nucleotides) under Enterococcus raffinosus. RNAcentral describes it as "bacterial LSU rRNA". It matches the Rfam family "Bacterial large subunit ribosomal RNA", at positions 2106 to 2406 of the family's 2925-position model. Lineage: Bacteria; Bacillati; Bacillota; Bacilli; Lactobacillales; Enterococcaceae. The record is from RNAcentral.
GCAGUUUGAUAUUGAGUGUUUGUACCACAUGUACAGGAUAGGUAGGAGCCGUAGAAGUCGGGACGCUAGUUUCGACAGAGGCGCUGGUGGGAUACUACCCUUGUGUUAUGACCACUCUAACCCGCACCACUGAUCGUGGUGGGAGACAGUGUCAGAUGGGCAGUUUGACUGGGGCGGUCGCCUCCUAAAGAGUAACGGAGGCGCCCAAAGGUUCCCUCAGAAUGGUUGGAAAUCAUUCGCAGAGUGUAAAGGCACAAGGGAGCUUGACUGCGAGACCUACAAGUCGAGCAGGGACGAAAGU